GAUGAAACUAACGGCUUUUGCAAGAAAGUUCGACUGACUAAUCUUCUGUAAUGCUAUUAUGAGGAUUACCCUUUGAGGUUCAUAGCGAUAGGUCGCCCUAUGGUUGGUCGCAAGAUUUCA
This 120-nucleotide small RNA is filed under the name bovine gut metagenome. Its description in RNAcentral is "Staphylococcus-1 RNA". It matches the Rfam family "Staphylococcus-1 RNA". From Rfam's summary of the family: Firmicute (1 example). Nearby to self-splicing intron genes The record is from RNAcentral.